GACGAACGCUGGCGGCGUGCCUAAUACAUGCAAGUCGAACGCAGUGGGGACGGGUGAGUAACAAGUGGGUAACCUCCCAGCAGAGGGGAUAACACUUGGCAACAGGUGCUAAACCGAUACUGAUGGAUGGACCAGAGGUGCAGUAGCUAGUUGGUGAGGUAACGGUGCACCAGGGCCACGAUGCAUAGCCGACCUGGGAGGGUGAUCGGCCACACUGGGACUGAGACACGGCCCAGCCUCCUACGGGAGGCAGCAGUAGGGAAUCUUCGGCAAUGGACGAAAGUCUGACCGAGCAACGCCGCGUGGGUGAAGAAGGGUUUCGGAUCGUAAAACUCUGUUGUUAGCGAAGCGUUAUCGAACCAGAAAGCCACGGCUAACUACGUGCCAGCAGCCGCGGUAAUUC
This 403-nucleotide ribosomal RNA is filed under the name uncultured bacterium. RNAcentral describes it as "partial 16S ribosomal RNA". It matches the Rfam family "Bacterial small subunit ribosomal RNA", at positions 28 to 526 of the family's 1533-position model. The record is from RNAcentral.